GGUUAAGCGACUAAGCGUACACGGUGGAUGCCCUGGCAGUCAGAGGCGAUGAAGGACGUGCUAAUCUGCGAUAAGCGUCGGUAAGGUGAUAUGAACCGUUAUAACCGGCGAUUUCCGAAUGGGGAAACCCAGUGUGAUUCGUCACACUAUCAUUACGUGAAUACAUAGCGUAAUGAAGCGAACCGGGGGAACUGAAACAUCUAAGUACCCCGAGGAAAAGAAAUCAACCGAGAUUCCCCCAGUAGCGGCGAGCGAACGGGGAGCAGCCCAGAGUCUGAAUCAGCAUGUGUGGUAGUGGAACGGUCUGGAAAGUCCGGCGAUACAGGGUGACAGCCCCGUACACAAAAGUGCAUGUGUUGUGAACUCGAAGAGUAGGGCGGGACACGUGGUAUCCUGUCUGAAUAUGGGGGGACCAUCCUCCAAGGCUAAAUACUCCUGACUGACCGAUAGUGAACCAGUACCGUGAGGGAAAGGCGAAAAGAACCCCGGCGAGGGGAGUGAAAAAGAACCUGAAACCGUGUACGUACAAGCAGUGGGAGCCUCUUUAUGGGGUGACUGCGUACCUUUUGUAUAAUGGGUCAGCGACUUAUAUUCUGUAGCAAGGUUAACCGAAUAGGGGAGCCGAAGGGAAACCGAGUCUUAACUGGGCGUUAAGUUGCAGGGUAUAGACCCGAAACCCGGUGAUCUAGCCAUGGGCAGGUUGAAGGUUGGGUAACACUAACUGGAGGACCGAACCGACUAAUGUUGAAAAAUUAGCGGAUGACUUGUGGCUGGGGGUGAAAGGCCAAUCAAACCGGGAGAUAGCUGGUUCUCCCCGAAAGCUAUUUAGGUAGCGCCUCGUGAAUUCAUCUUCGGGGGUAGAGCACUGUUUCGGCUAGGGGGUCAUCCCGACUUACCAACCCGAUGCAAACUGCGAAUACCGAAGAAUGUUAUCACGGGAGACACACGGCGGGUGCUAACGUCCGUCGUGAAGAGGGAAACAACCCAGACCGCCAGCUAAGGUCCCAAAGUCAUGGUUAAGUGGGAAACGAUGUGGGAAGGCACAGACAGCCAGGAUGUUGGCUUAGAAGCAGCCAUCAUUUAAAGAAAGCGUAAUAGCUCACUGGUCGAGUCGGCCUGCGCGGAAGAUGUAACGGGGCUAAACCAUGCACCGAAGCUGCGGCAGCGACACUAUGUGUUGUUGGGUAGGGGAGCGUUCUGUAAGCCGUUGAAGGUGGCCUGUGAGGGUUGCUGGAGGUAUCAGAAGUGCGAAUGCUGACAUAAGUAACGAUAAUGCGGGUGAAAAACCCGCACGCCGGAAGACCAAGGGUUCCUGUCCAACGUUAAUCGGGGCAGGGUGAGUCGACCCCUAAGGCGAGGCCGAAAGGCGUAGUCGAUGGGAAACAGGUUAAUAUUCCUGUACUUGGUGUUACUGCGAAAUGGUGCCGUAACUUCGGGAGAAGGCACGCUGAUAUGUAGGUGAAGUGAUUUACUCAUGGAGCUGAAAUCAGUCGAAGAUACCAGCUGGCUGCAACUGUUUAUUAAAAACACAGCACUGUGCAAACACGAAAGUGGACGUAUACGGUGUGACGCCUGCCCGGUGCCGGAAGGUUAAUUGAUGGGGUUAUCCGUAAGGAGAAGCUCUUGAUCGAAGCCCCGGUAAACGGCGGCCGUAACUAUAACGGUCCUAAGGUAGCGAAAUUCCUUGUCGGGUAAGUUCCGACCUGCACGAAUGGCGUAAUGAUGGCCAGGCUGUCUCCACCCGAGACUCAGUGAAAUUGAACUCGCUGUGAAGAUGCAGUGUACCCGCGGCAAGACGGAAAGACCCCGUGAACCUUUACUAUAGCUUGACACUGAACACUGGUCCUUGAUGUGUAGGAUAGGUGGGAGGCUUUGAAGUGUGGACGCCAGUCUGCAUGGAGCCAACCUUGAAAUACCACCCUUUAAUGGCUGGUGUUCUAACGUAGACCCGUAAUCCGGGUUGCGGACAGUGUCUGGUGGGUAGUUUGACUGGGGCGGUCUCCUCCUAAAGAGUAACGGAGGAGCACGAAGGUUAGCUAAUCCUGGUCGGACAUCAGGAGGUUAGUGCAAAGGCAUAAGCUAGCUUGACUGCGAGAGUGACGGCUCGAGCAGGUGCGAAAGCAGGUCUUAGUGAUCCGGUGGUUCUGAAUGGAAGGGCCAUCGCUCAACGGAUAAAAGGUACUCCGGGGAUAACAGGCUGAUACCGCCCAAGAGUUCAUAUCGACGGCGGUGUUUGGCACCUCGAUGUCGGCUCAUCACAUCCUGGGGCUGAAGUAGGUCCCAAGGGUAUGGCUGUUCGCCAUUUAAAGUGGUACGCGAGCUGGGUUUAGAACGUCGUGAGACAGUUCGGUCCCUAUCUGCCGUGGGCGCUGGAGAAUUGAGGGGGGCUGCUCCUAGUACGAGAGGACCGGAGUGGACGCAUCACUGGUGUUCGGGUUGUCAUGCCAAUGGCAUUGCCCGGUAGCUAAAUGCGGAAGAGAUAAGUGCUGAAAGCAUCUAAGCACGAAACUUGCCCCGAGAUGAGUUCUCCCUGACCCUUUAAGGGUCCUGAAGGAACGUUGAAGACGACGACGUUGAUAGGUCGGGUGUGUAAGCGUAGCGAUACGUUGAGCUAACCGAUACUAAUGAACCGUGAGGCUUAACCUU
This 2646-nucleotide ribosomal RNA is filed under the name Citrobacter sp. RNAcentral describes it as "23S ribosomal RNA". It matches the Rfam family "Bacterial large subunit ribosomal RNA". The record is from RNAcentral. Lineage: Bacteria; Pseudomonadati; Pseudomonadota; Gammaproteobacteria; Enterobacterales; Enterobacteriaceae.